AAACAUAGCCUUUAGCUUAACAAGUAUUAAAGGUUCCGCCUGCCCAGUGACUUCUUAAACGGCCGCGGUACCCUAACCGUGCAAAGGUAGCAUAAUCACUUGUCUCUUAAAUAGAGACUCGUAUGAAAGGCUAAAUGAGGGUUUUACUGUCUCUUACGAUUGGCCAAUGAAGUUGAUUUACCAGUACAAAAGCUGGUAUUAUUCCAUAAGACGAGAAGACCCUGUGGAGCUUAAAAAUCAAAACAUAACAAUGUCCACUGAGUUUUUAGUUGGGGCGACUUCGGAGCACAAAAAAACCUCCAAAAACAACCACACUUAAUAAGAAAUAUGCUUCAAAUUAGGUAAAAUAGACCCAUAGGCCACCCAUAAAUACCUAUGAUUAAUAAACCAAGUUACCCCAGGGAUAACAGCGCCAUCCCCUUCAAGAGUCCUUAUCGACAAGGGGGUUUACGACCUCGAUGUUGGAUCAGGACACCCAAAUAGUGCAGCCGCUAUUAAAGGUUUGUUUGUUCAACAAUUAAUAGUCCUACGUGAU
RNAcentral lists this ribosomal RNA (535 nucleotides) under Takydromus sexlineatus (Asian grass lizard). RNAcentral's name for it is "partial 16S ribosomal RNA". It matches the Rfam family "Bacterial large subunit ribosomal RNA", at positions 1811 to 2604 of the family's 2925-position model. Lineage: Eukaryota; Metazoa; Chordata; Lepidosauria; Squamata; Lacertidae. The record is from RNAcentral.